GUAAGGAAUAUUGGUCAAUGGGGGCAACCCUGAACCAGCCAUGCCGCGUGAAGGAUGAAGGCGUUAUGCGUUGUAAACUUCUUUUGUAUGGGAAGAAUGACAGGGAUUUAUCCUUGGAGAGACGGUACCAUACGAAUAAGCACCGGCUAACUCCGUACCAGCAGCCGCGGUAAUACGGAGGGUGCAAGCGUUAUCCGGAAUCACUGGGUUUAAAGGGUACGUAGGCGGUUAAUUAAGUCAGUAGUGAAAGACUGUCGCUCAACGACGGAUGUGCUAUUGAUACUGGUGUACUUGAAUCAGGUUAGAGUUGGCGUAAUGGUUCAUGUAGCGGUGAAAUGCUUAGAUAUGACUUGGAACACCGAUAGCGAAGGCAGCUGACUGAGCCUUGAUUGACGCUGAGGUACGAAAGCGUGAGUAGCGAACAGGAUUAGAAACCCCAGUAGUCC
Molecule: ribosomal RNA, 446 nt
Filed under: uncultured bacterium
Lineage: Bacteria
Description: partial 16S ribosomal RNA
Rfam family: Bacterial small subunit ribosomal RNA
Source: RNAcentral